Molecule: transfer RNA, 80 nt
Filed under: Actinoplanes sp. NBRC 101535
Lineage: Bacteria; Bacillati; Actinomycetota; Actinomycetes; Micromonosporales; Micromonosporaceae
Description: tRNA-Leu
Source: RNAcentral
CGCCGUCCUGGAUGCUGAAGUUGAUCGUGCCGCCCAGGUCGGCGUUGACCCCGCCGACGAGCUUGUUGUCGGUCGGCGGC